GGAAGCGUGGCAGAGUGGUCGAUUGCACCGGUCUUGAAAACCGGCGAGGGUUUAUCCCCUCCGUGAGUUCGAAUCUCACCGCUUCCGCCA
This 90-nucleotide transfer RNA is filed under the name Gammaproteobacteria bacterium. RNAcentral describes it as "tRNA-Ser". It matches the Rfam family "tRNA". From Rfam's summary of the family: Transfer RNA (tRNA) molecules are approximately 80 nucleotides in length. The record is from RNAcentral. Lineage: Bacteria; Pseudomonadati; Pseudomonadota; Gammaproteobacteria.